ACGCAGGUGGCAAGCGUUGUCCGGAAUUAUUGGGCGUAAAGGGCGCGCAGGCGGGAAGAUAAGUCUGUCGUAAAAGAACAGGGCUUAACUCUGUUAAGCGAUGGAAACUGUCAUCCUUGAGUACAGGAGAGGAAAGUGGAAUUCCCAGUGGUGGGGGUGAAUGCGUUGGUAUUGGGGAGGACCCCCGGGGCGAAGGGGGGUUUCUGGGCUGGGUUCGGCGGUUGAGGGGCAAAAGCAGGGAAGGGAACGG
RNAcentral lists this ribosomal RNA (250 nucleotides) under uncultured prokaryote. RNAcentral describes it as "partial 16S rRNA". It matches the Rfam family "Bacterial small subunit ribosomal RNA", at positions 525 to 775 of the family's 1533-position model. The record is from RNAcentral.